UACAGCCACACCACUUUGAAAUACCGAUUCCCGUACGAUCACCGAAGUUAAACAACGUCGAGCCUGGUUAGUACCCAGAUGGGUGACUGCUUGGGAAUACUAGGUGCUUC
RNAcentral lists this ribosomal RNA (110 nucleotides) under Acanthosepion pharaonis. Lineage: Eukaryota; Metazoa; Mollusca; Cephalopoda; Sepiida; Sepiidae. The record is from RNAcentral.